Molecule: transfer RNA, 67 nt
Filed under: Sarcophilus harrisii (Tasmanian devil)
Lineage: Eukaryota; Metazoa; Chordata; Mammalia; Dasyuromorphia; Dasyuridae
Rfam family: tRNA
About the family: Transfer RNA (tRNA) molecules are approximately 80 nucleotides in length. Their secondary structure includes four short double-helical elements and three loops (D, anti-codon, and T loops).
Source: Rfam by way of RNAcentral
UAAGGUAGCUUAAUGGAUAAAGCACCAAUCUUGGAGUCAGGAAGACCUGAAUUCAAAUUCAGCCUUA